Regulatory RNA element from Pseudomonas sp. HPB0071, 144 nucleotides. It matches the Rfam family "FMN riboswitch aptamer (RFN element)". From Rfam's summary of the family: The RFN element is a highly conserved domain that is found frequently in the 5'-untranslated regions of prokaryotic mRNAs that encode for flavin mononucleotide (FMN) biosynthesis and transport proteins. This element is a metabolite-dependent riboswitch that directly binds FMN in the absence of proteins. In Bacillus subtilis, the riboswitch most likely controls gene expression by causing premature transcription termination within the 5' untranslated region of the ribDEAHT operon and precluding access to the ribosome-binding site of ypaA mRNA. The record is from Rfam. NCBI's taxonomy places the organism in Bacteria, Pseudomonadati, Pseudomonadota, Gammaproteobacteria, Pseudomonadales, Pseudomonadaceae.
UCGGGUCUUCAGGGCGGGGUGAGAUUCCCCACCGGCGGUAAACCACAUGGUGGCAAGCCUGCGAGCGCUCCGAUACGUCGGAGGUCAGCAGACCUGGUGUGAUUCCAGGGCCGACGGUCAUAGUCCGGAUGAAAGAAGAUGCGU